CUGCUGGGAGCGGUGCGUGGUCGUGGCCGGGCUUGAAUCGUCGAGCUCAGGCAGGGCAGCUUGGUUGCCUUGGAAGCAGAGGAGCAGACCCCUUGUUGCGGGACAGGGCCGGUGCCUAGGUGCGUCCCUCCUCCUCGAGCAGGACAAGGCCAUGUUCCCGGCUAGAACUGGCGUCCUCCUGUCGUCGUUGCCGUCCACGCCAUGGGCGGUCUGCAGAAAAGUAAGAGAACUAGAGAAGGUUAGUUUGCAGAGCUACAAGCUACAGUGUGUAACAAAGAUAUUCAAUCUAUUCAGCAAAACCAACACAAAAAUAUAUGAUAGUCUGCAGAACAACAUAGCAUCAUUCACAAGCAAAGUAUAGGAUGCAAACAACAAGUAGUACCAUAAUUCUCAUCACAGUCAUACAUUGAAUUCAUUAAAGGCUACAGAUUCAUAGAAUUCAUUAAAGGCUACAGAUUCAUAGAAUUCAUUAAAGGCUACAAAUAAAAAUAGGUAGAUUUCUUUCUUCUCUUUGAUUUAUGCUAGCAGAGAUGUAGCAGGCAGGAAGGUGGGAAGCAAUACAUAUGCAUGUAUGUAUGAAGCAGAUCAUGAAAAGAGCAACAUCUAUUUAACUUGAUUGCCUUGCAGAUGACACACAAGAUGAAGAGCGCUUGGACAGAAGCGAUGGACGCCACGAACUGGCAGAUCACAGAUUUCUCCAUAAGUACAGAAGUAGUAUUUGCAUCAGUACAGCAACACUAGCACGUAGUACAAACAUGGUAUCACAGACAUUCUCUAAUUGACUAGCACCCAAAUAUAUACAUGCACCAGUUCAGGAAAUUCAUAGACCUAUAUAAGAGAGCACUCGAUUCAGCAAGAAGAUACAGUGGAUAUAUCAAGAUUUGAUAUGCCCCAAUCUCUGAAGAUUUGUAUGUGCAAAUCUGCAGAUUCAGGUGUAGUGAUUCAAACCAUACGUAACUACAGAUUUUUUUACAGUAAAAACUGUGUGUACAAAUCUGAAUAUAGCAAACACAAAGUGCAUUCAGGAUCCACUUCCCAACAUCUAAAUUCACCGAACAUGUCCUAAAAUUAGCACAACUAGAAAGUACAGAGAUAAGAACAGCAAUGCACAUCUAAGAGGUGGCAAUCAAUUGGUCCAACAAUACAAUAUAGAAGCUCAGUUGCAAUAAAUAACUACAUGCCUACAUCAGCUCAAAGUGGCAGUAGCUCAAAAACAAGCAAAACAACUGUUGAUAAGCAAAGGCAAAAGGCUAAAACACAUGUUUGGCCAGAAAAACUAAAAGCUAAAUCAUGUCAUUUCAGCGAGAAUGACUCAUGUAGUUAUAGGCAAAGUACAAAACUAGCGACCUAGAAAACACGUCGGCAAGUUACAGAUAACUGAUCAAUGAUAGACACAGACGGCGGUCUGCGCAAGAUGGAGACGCCUCUCGACUGGCGACGUACACGUCCAGGUAAACUAUCCAGCAGCAU
RNAcentral lists this long non-coding RNA (1470 nucleotides) under Triticum aestivum (bread wheat). Its description in RNAcentral is "long non-coding RNA (TAES_LNC004369)". The record is from RNAcentral. Lineage: Eukaryota; Viridiplantae; Streptophyta; Magnoliopsida; Poales; Poaceae.